UCCAACAAAAAUGAGCCAGGGCCCUCCGCCCCUCUAACCCACUCCCCCCCCACCUCGUCAUUCUGUGAUACGUCGCCAAAGCAAGGAAAAGGGGGCAGUUUCUCUGCAUCUCUAUUAGAUAGUGAGGUGGGCGCGAGCCCCCUCCCCUUCUUCCUUUCUGAUCGCUCGCUUCUAUCCAGCAGGUUACCUUCAUCACUCCGCCGCUCUCGGUCUCUCUCGCCCUUCGUUUCGCCACCUGCGCCUCAUCGAGUCUUCUCUGACCUCUGCCAGGUGGACUCCUCACCCGCGAGUAGUGUGAUGACGUCGAAAGGCAGCCCAGUCAGAAGCGGCGCGUCGCUCACAGCUGACGAGCUUGAGGAGAAGCUUGCGACGCUGCACAACUACCUCAGCACCCCGUACCGCGCGCGUGCGGAAGCCAUCUUGCAGCGACGUCGUCAGCGCGAAGCAAGAGCCUCACUUAACCGGUCACACAAAGUUCUCCAAGGGCCCGAGGGCGCAAAUCCGGGUAGAGUCCCAUUGGAGCGUGUCUCGGUACCCUUCCACUCGCCAGCAUCGAUCCAGAAUCCUUCCCCGGCAGAGAAAAAGGGAAACUCGGUUGAAAAGGCGCCCGGCGAAUCGCGCAUGCGUGUCGCUGCGGAUAUCUCUACCACACCCACGGAGUUUAAGAGCGAGUGCGACUCAGAAGAUGAGGUAUCGAAACGUGACGGUAGCAGCGGUCUCUCUGAGCCGUCACCUACAGCGUGUGCGCCAGCCCAAGCGCUACCCAUGGACCCCCACACGAGGCGGUACGUGCAACAGCUAGAAUGGCAGGUGAAGAUGCUGGCCGAUGCGCUCCAGCAAGAACGUGAGCGGCUCGCAGAGGUCGAUGCACGUGUGGUGCAGCCACUUCUGCGACUCGCAGAUGCGGCUCUGCAGCAACAGGUGCAGCUGGAAUGCGCACUGGCGUCGUGUCGUGCUCGUGAGCGCGAUGAGAGAGGUCCACUGCGUGAAGAAGUGUGCAGCGAGAGAGACGUCAACCUUCUUUGCAAGAGUCUUGGCGACAUACUGAAGGAAGGCAGGGAGGGUUCGGCUCCCUCUUGAGCACGCACCCCUUGCAUCCUCAAUCGUCUCCGUUCGCCUCUCUUCGCAACAGAGGGCGUCGUUAGCGUUGUUUUUC
Molecule: unclassified non-coding RNA, 1156 nt
Filed under: Leishmania donovani
Lineage: Eukaryota; Euglenozoa; Kinetoplastea; Trypanosomatida; Trypanosomatidae
Description: gene:LdHU3.14.0800(CDS-product:hypothetical_prote in)
Source: RNAcentral